UAAAGGUUUGGUCCCAGCCUUUCUAUUAGUUCUUAACAGACUUACACAUGCAAGAAUCCACGCUCCGGUGAGAAUGCCCUCUAAAUCAUAAGGAUUAAAAGGAGCAGGUAUCAAGCACGCUAUAUAGCAGCUCACAACACCUUGCUUAGCCACACCCCCUACGGGAUACAGCAGUGAUAAAAAUUAAGCCAUGAACGAAAGUUCGACUAAGUCAUGUUAACAAGAGUCGGUAAACUUCGUGCCAGCCACCGCGGUCAUACGAUUGACCCAAAUUAAUAGAGACACGGCGUAAAGAGUGUCAAGAAACUGCCCAAAAAUAAAGUCAAAUCUUAAUUAAGCGGUAAAAUGCCAUAAUUAAAACUAAGUCAGACUACGAAAGUGACUUUAAUACAAUUCAGUUACACGACAGCUAAGACCCAAACUGGGAUUAGAUACCCCACUAUGCUUAGCCAUAAACCCAGAUAAUCACAAAACAAGAUUAUUCGCCAGAGUACUACUAGCAACAGCUUAAAACUCAAAGGACUUGGCGGUGCUUCAUAUCCCUCUAGAGGAGCCUGUUCUAUAAUCGAUAAACCCCGAUCAACCUCACCAACCCUUGCUACUUCAGUCUAUAUACCGCCAUCUUCAGCAAACCCCAGUAAGGGAACGACAGUAAGCACAACUACUUUACGUAAAAACGUUAGGUCAAGGUGUAACCUAUGGGAUGGGAAGAAAUGGGCUACAUUUUCUACACUAAGAAUACCCCCUUUAUACCUAAACGAAAGUUUUUAUGAAAUAUAAAAACCAAAGGAGGAUUUAGCAGUAAAUUAAGAAUAGAGCGCUUAAUUGAAUAAGGCCAUGAAGCACGCACACACCGCCCGUCACCCUCCUCAAGUAUCAUAGCAUAAACUCCAACCUAUCAGCCUAUGCAACACUACUAUACAAGAGGAGACAAGUCGUAACAAGGUAAGCAUACUGGAAAGUGUGCUUGGAUAAAA
This 977-nucleotide non-coding RNA is filed under the name Platanista gangetica (Ganges River dolphin). RNAcentral's name for it is "12S ribosomal RNA". It matches the Rfam family "Bacterial small subunit ribosomal RNA". The record is from RNAcentral. Lineage: Eukaryota; Metazoa; Chordata; Mammalia; Artiodactyla; Platanistidae.